GCUUCCGUAGCUUAAAUAAAGUAUAGGACUGAAGCUCCUAAGAUGGCCCUUAAAAAGACCCGCAAGCA
Non-coding RNA from Seriola dumerili (greater amberjack), 68 nucleotides. The record is from Ensembl. Lineage: Eukaryota; Metazoa; Chordata; Actinopteri; Carangiformes; Carangidae.